Molecule: ribosomal RNA, 520 nt
Filed under: uncultured Glomus
Lineage: Eukaryota; Fungi; Glomeromycota; Glomeromycetes; Glomerales; Glomeraceae
Description: SSU rRNA
Rfam family: Eukaryotic small subunit ribosomal RNA
Source: RNAcentral
AGCAGCCGCGGUAAUUCCAGCUCCAAUAGCGUAUAUUAAAGUUGUUGCAGUUAAAAAGCUCGUAGUUGAAUUUCGAGAUCAAAUUGUUGGUCGUGCCUCGGUACGUACUGGCAUUAUUGAUUUCUCCCUUCUGAAGAACCACGAUGUCAUUAAUUUGGUGUCGUGGGGAAUCAGGACUGUUACUUUGAAAAAUUAGAGUGUUUAAAGCAGGCUCACGCUUGAAUACAUUAGCAUGGAAUAAUGAAAUAGGACGUUUGAUUCUAUUUUGUUGGUUUCUAGGAUCGACGUAAUGAUUAAUAGGGAUAGUUGGGGGCAUUAGUAUUCAAUUGUCAGAGGUGAAAUUCUUGGAUUUAUUGAAGACUAACUACUGCGAAAGCAUUUGCCAAGGAUGUUUUCAUUAAUCAAAGAACGAAAGUUAGGGGAUCGAAGACGAUCAGAUACCGUCGUAGUCUUAACCAUAAACUAUGCCGACUAGGGAUCGGAUGAUGUUAAUUUUUAAUGUACUCAUUCGGCGUACCCG